CGGGGUGUAGCUCAAUGGUAGAGCAAGCGUCCUAGAAGCGCAAGGUUACAGGUUCGAAUCCUGUCGCCCCGACCA
RNAcentral lists this transfer RNA (75 nucleotides) under Alphaproteobacteria bacterium. RNAcentral describes it as "tRNA-Leu". It matches the Rfam family "tRNA". From Rfam's summary of the family: Transfer RNA (tRNA) molecules are approximately 80 nucleotides in length. Their secondary structure includes four short double-helical elements and three loops (D, anti-codon, and T loops). The record is from RNAcentral. Lineage: Bacteria; Pseudomonadati; Pseudomonadota; Alphaproteobacteria.